Molecule: ribosomal RNA, 323 nt
Filed under: uncultured eukaryote
Lineage: Eukaryota
Description: partial 18S ribosomal RNA
Rfam family: Eukaryotic small subunit ribosomal RNA
Source: RNAcentral
CCCUUAGAUGUCCGGGGCCGCACGCGCGCUACACUGAAGGAAUCAGCGUGGCUCUGUCCCUGGUCCGAAAGGAUUGGGAAACCCGUUGAAUCUCCUUCGUGAUAGGGAUUGGGGCUUGGAACUGUUCCCCAUGAACGAGGAAUUCCCAGUAAACGCAAGUCAUCAGCUUGCAUUGAUUACGUCCCUGCCCUUUGUACACACCGCCCGUCGCACCUACCGAUUGAAUGGUCCGGUGAAAUCUCGGGACGGCGGCUUGGUCGCUUGCGUCCGACUGCUGAAACUUGAUUAAACCAUAUCAUUUAGAGGAAGGUGAAGUCGUAACA